UACGAAGGGGGCUAGCGUUGCUCGGAAUUACUGGGCGUAAAGGGAGCGUAGGCGGACAGUUUAGUCAGAGGUGAAAGCCCAGGGCUCAACCCUGGAAUUGCCUUUGAUACUGAUUGUCUUGAGUAUGGGAGAGGUGAGUGGAACUCCGAGUGUAGAGGUGAAAUUCGUAGAUAUUCGGAAGAACACCAGUGGCGAAGGCGGCCAGCUAGACCAGUUCUGACACUGAGGCGCGACAGCGUGGGGAGCAAACAGG
RNAcentral lists this ribosomal RNA (253 nucleotides) under uncultured bacterium. RNAcentral's name for it is "partial 16S ribosomal RNA". It matches the Rfam family "Bacterial small subunit ribosomal RNA", at positions 524 to 776 of the family's 1533-position model. The record is from RNAcentral.